UACGAAGGGGGCUAGCGUUGUUCGGAUUUAUUGGGCGUAAAGCGCGCGCAGGCGGAUUAUCAAGUCAGAUGUGAAAUCUCGGGGCCUAACCCCGAAACUGCGUCUGAAACUGGUAAUCUAGAAUCUCGGAGGGGGCAGGGGAAUUUCUCAUGUAGGGGUAAAAUCCGUAGAGAUGAGAAGGAACACCAGAGGCGAAGGCGCCUGCCUGGACGAGUAUUGACGCUGAGGCGCGAAAGUGUGGGGAGCAAACAGG
RNAcentral lists this ribosomal RNA (253 nucleotides) under uncultured bacterium. Its description in RNAcentral is "partial 16S ribosomal RNA". It matches the Rfam family "Bacterial small subunit ribosomal RNA", at positions 524 to 776 of the family's 1533-position model. The record is from RNAcentral.